UGGUGCCCAAAACCGCAUGCAGCAGUAGUCAAUAUGAAUAGUGAACUGAAAAAUGUUCAGCAUCUCUAUUAAAAGGCGAUGACCUGGCUGUGGCCAUCAGUUGAGGAAGACAGAGCAGUGCUCCACACUGGGAUGUCUUCAGGUAGAGAUAAACUGGUGAAAUGACAGACCUCUGAAAACCAGCAUUCUGGAAACCCAGCAGUGGGAAUUUUGCCACAGUGGAACUGGGAUAGAGCAGGAAUAUGAUCUUGUUGGCAGGUUUGCACUGCUGUUGUCUGAUGGAGGUUAUGCCUACUUUGCUCCACUGGCAUUAGCCAUGGUGCUGUAUGGGGAGAGAGACUGCCCAUGACAGAAGCAUCACUGUUAUACAGUUCCUCACUCAAUUCAAUCUCCCUGCUGAUCACCAUUGGAGAGCAGAUUGCAACUUGGGGAAGUGAUGUUGGUGGCAGUGCUGCAGCUCUGUAGGUUCAGUCAUGCUAGAGAUUAGGUCUGCUUCAAGCUGUCUCAUGUCCAUGCCCUUCCUCUGAUCCCAAUCAUUAAAAGAUAAGAUUUCUUGAAAUAUCAGCAAUUUUUUUGCCCCCCCCCCUGGCUGGAGCAAACCACUUAGCAUACAGAUGUGGGAACACUUGAAUAGGUUUUCAGUGGAAAAGAAAUGCUGAGCUCCUAAGAUGUAUAAUUUAUACAGACUAAUCAUCUUUCACCUGCAGAGUGCUGGUAAAUGCUGCUUUUGUACCGUGGUCAAGGGCAUGCAUCAAUAAGCCGGAAAAAAGGGAUGUGGUGACAGUAUUUGUUUCUUCUGAGGAAAAAAAAAAAAAAAAACAGAAUAAAAAUAAGAAUACGCAUCAGAGAGGAAGAGUCCUGGCUUCUCAGAGUUUCCCUAAUGUGCACUUGGUUUAAAACUUUCUUCUUUUUUCUUUGAGGACAGUGUUGCAGGUUUUGAACUACGUACUUUUCAAAAAGGGCCUGCUUUGUGACCUGGGGUACAAUCUAUGUCUGCUACUGAAGCUAUCUUGACUGGCAUGAGAAAUGUAAGAAUUUUGAAGAAACUUGGCCUGACAAAUAUCUGUUUGCACAUUUGGAUUUAUGAAAACUUCUGAUCUCUCUGUGUCAUGGUCCCCUUCUGUAACAUAACAGGUAUACAAUGAUAUCUUUGACUUCAUCUCAUAAAGAUGAUGUGAAAAUAAAUCAUAUAAUCUUUGCAAUGCCUUUUGGUACUGCUGUGAUGAGCACUGUAAGAAAACCCACAAGCAAAUGAAUAAUUCAUUGUUUAAAUCAGGCUCUGAAUAGUACACAGUAAACAAGUCUUUCAUACUGAAUCGUAAAAGUAAGGCCAAAUAAUUAAUAAUUACUUGUUCAAUUAUCACUGUCCAUUCAGAGUACUGAUGAAGAAGAUGGGAAUCCCUGUGGAAAAACCAUAGUCAUGUCUUAAGGAUGGAGUAUUGUAUGACUGGAAAUGAUAAUGUUGAUAGUUUGUUUUUUCUUUCUUUAUCUAAGACACCUUUGGUAUUAGUUAUGAUGUGUACUUUGGAUUAAAGAUGAAGUGUAUUAUUCUUUCUAAAUUGCUUGAAUUUAGUCUGCAGGUCUCCUAAUAGACCUUUACUUCUGUUUUCAGAAUUUCCUGUCUUGCCAUGAAUCCUUUUGCUAAUGGUGUUUAAGCAUCAAAAGAAGAGUAUAACACCAUCUCUGAUCAUUGCAGAAAAAUUCCUGAAUAUAAUUUUAAGAUUGAAUUUUAUCUCUUGAUAAUAAUUGCUCUUAAGAAAAAACUAAUAGAAGAGGAGAGUUAAACUUUUCUGCUGAGUAUCAGCUGGAUGACGAGAAAUUCUUUUUGGUAGAAUCACAGGUACAGGAAUAGCUUGUUCCAGUUUUCAACCUUGUGACCUUCCUUCAGAUAGCUCUGAAUGUUCAGAUUUUAAGGCUGAAAAAGAAAACAGAGAGGUAUUUGAAGCUCCACUACACAAAAAUGUCAAUAAUUCAGACUGACUGAUAGCUUCUCUAAUAACUAAAGUCACCUGCAAUUUUUUAUAGUCCUAGAGCAUAAGCCAUCUAUAACAUAUAAUCAGUUCCACUGUGAAGAUGGAACUGAUGUUUAUUGUUUCCUAUACGUUCCCUCCCUACUUCCUAAGGUGAAUUUUUAAAAAUCAAUUCACAUAAUUUGAUCAAUUUAAAAUACUGAAUACACUGAGGUAAUUAUAGCAAAGUUCUUGCAUCUUAUUGUGUCCAGUUACAGUAAGGCUACUUACUGACAGUGCAGCAUUAAAGAUAAACCAGCAUUUACAUGAAAACAGUCAUAAUUUACAUCUGCCAUUUUUAAGUAAGUCCUUUUAACUGAUUUUGAAGUAGUCUUUGCAAAGUGGUGAUUUAUAUUUUAAAAAUGAGGGCUUCAUCUCUUUCUCUGAAAAUGAUGCUUGAAAUCCGUAGGAGAGUGAAACAAGCAAUUUCAGUCACUAAAGAUAAGGUCUGUGUUUUUUAAAUAAAAGAGAGUGAAAGAGCUGUUGUUCUAAUUUAGCAAAAUUGUGUCAGCUCAGUUUUCUAUUUAUUUAUGGUAAAAUUCUGUUUCCAGAUUUUGAAUGCACAUAUUUAACAAGAUAUGGUCAGUCAGUAUGGUGGUGAUUAGUCCAAAAUUUGAUCAGGUUGUCACUUGACGCUCACUGGGCACUUUCGUAAAGGCCUUCAUUGAGAGAUCAUGACCAGUACAAAGGCAUUUAAUGAAUAUUCCAUAAUUGGGAAAAAGCCUCUUAAGAUCUAGAAUUUCAGAAAUACUGAAGUUUAAACAUAUAAAAAUAUCUUUGGGCCAACUGUUACUGUCACGUUCAGGUGCAGACAAUUUUAUAGCUUUUUCUUGAGAUUGCUACCCCCUAAUGAAUUUGUUGACAUUCCUAGUGAAAUUUGUAAGUAUAUUCUAUACAUUUCAUAUUUAAAAGUAUAUUUUCUACUUAGAUAAAUAUUAAUGUAAGCCACACACAUAUUUAAAACAAUUUGGAAUGAUCAUAUACUCAUGUAGAUAAUGUAGAUAUACCUUAAGAAAGUUUUAUUUUUGUAUGAAAUUCCUGAAUUUUGAUUCACUACUGUAGAAGACUUCAUGAAACUCACAAGAGCCGAGUGUUCUUGGACAUUUGUGCUCUACCACUCUCAAUGUUCUUUUCUUCUUUGACUUAACAAUUUCUGUGCAAGAUCACUGUUCAAAUAUAUCCUAGAGGCAAGCACAGCUCUUGUUGAUUUAAUAUUGCAAUAAGUAUGAUAAAUAGCAGCUAUGGCAUACUAUUGUUUUCAAACGUGGUUUGGUUUUGUUUUUAAAGCAAACAGAUCUGUUUGAGACUUCUGGAACAAUCUGAAAAAAAAAAAAACACUGGUACUUAAGAAUAGGAAGGCAAAUUUCAAUGAAAAGCUCUGCUAGAACAUUCAAGUGAUUGGAAGGAAAUAACGGAUCCAAUACAAAAGGACACAUCUGCAUUUUAGAAUUGUGGAGAAAUUGGAGCCUUAAGUACAAAAGGAAGCAGAUAAAUGUUUUGGAAGAAGGAGAAUUUCCUUCCCGGAUUCUAAAGCUGGCAAAGAUCAGUAAUCACACUUCUAUUAUUUUCUACAUCAGAGUAGGUAAUCUGUUAUAUUCUGCAUCAGUAUAAACUUAAAAAUGAUGGAUACAUAUUUCCAAAAGGUACCAAAUGUACCAAAUUAUUACAGAUUAUUAGAGAUGGUUGUUAGAUGCCAAUAUUUACUUCUUCCUCUGUCAACGUUUUCUUAGGAACUUAAGUAAUUUGAAAUCAGAGUUAGAAUAGAAUACAUAGCUGAGUUGACCUACAGAGGUCAUUAAGUUGAACUGCUGGACUGCUUUGGGGCUCAUACAAGGUUAAUCACAGACAGGCACGGGACAUCGGCCACCUCACUAGGAAGCCUGUUCCAGUUUCUGAUCACCUUCAUGGUACAGAGAUGUUUUCAGGCCCAGUCUGACCUUUCUCUGGUACAGCAUUAUGUUGUGUUCUCAUCCUGCCAUUGGUGACCAGGAGCAGAGCCUGGCAUCUCCCUCUGCUCCCCCUCCUCAGGGAGCUGCAGAGAGCAAUGAGAUAAUCUCUGGGCCUCCUCUUCUCCAAACUGGACAACCUAAGUUUUCUCCAGCCCUGCUACCAGCUUUCAUUCCUCCUCUGGACUCUUUCGAGGACCUUAAUACCUUUUUCAUUUUGUGGAACCUAGAACUCCAUACAAAAUUCAAGGCGGUGUCUCACCACAGCUAAAUACAAUUACCUCUUUUGACUGGCUGCUUGUGCUGUGCUUAAUGGCAACCCAAAAUGGGGUUUUCCCCUUGGCUGCCAGGACAUGCUGCUGACUCUUGCUGACUCUUGCUGAGCCUUCUUUUGGCCAGCGCUCCCAAAACCCUAUCUGCUGAGCUGGUCUCCAGCCACUAAUCUCCCAGUCUAUCUGUGUGUCUGGCACUGCUCCAUUCCAGGUGCUGCACCCAACAUUUUCCUUUCUUGAAUUUCAUGUCAUUGCUGAUGGCCCAGUGCUCCAACAUAUUCAGAUGCUUCUACCUUGCUGAUUAGCAUUAUCAGCAAGUUUGUUUAGGUUGUGUUCCACUCCUGCAUACAGAUCAUUGAUAAAAAUUUUGAACAGUACUGGUACUAGAACUGAGUGAGCCCUGGGGAACACCACUGGUGGCUGACCACUGGCCAGAUGUAGUCCCACUCACUAUGACUCCUCAAACUUUUUGUUCAAGCCAGUUCACAGUGAGUCCAAUACUUCAUCAAUCUCACAGCCAAGGAUAGAGUUCAAGGUUGGAGCAAAAAGUGUGAGGUUAUUUGAAACAACUUAUGGCCAGUAGUAUGAUCUUUAACAGACCAAAUGCUGGGUCCUACAUUUUGGUCUCAACAAGCCCAUGCAUCGCUACAGGCUUGGGGCAGAGUAGCUGGCAGGCUGCAUAGAGAAAAAAGAUGUUAGUUGACAGGCAGCUGAAUAUGAGCCAGCAGUGCGCCUAGGUGGCCAAGGUCAGUGGCAUCCUGGUUUGUAUCAGAAUAGUGUAGUCAGCAUCACUAGGAAGGUGAUCGUCCCUCUCCACUGGUAAAGCUGCACCUCAAGUACAGUGUUCUGUUUUGGGCCCCUCACUAGAAGAAAGACACCAAGGCCCUGGAGUAUGUCCAAAGAAGGGCAACAAAGCUGAUAACGGGUUUGAAACGCAGUCUUAUGAAGAGUGUCUGAAAAAAACUGGGAUUCUUUAGUCUAGGGAAGAGGAGGCUUGGGAGACCUCAUUGCAUUCUACUCUACCUGAAAAGAAGUUGUAGUGAGCUAGAAGUUCACCUAUUUUCCCAGGUACCUAGUGAUAGGACAAGAGGUAAUGGCCACAAGUUGAGCCAGGGGAGGUUCAAGUUGGAUAGUAGGAAACAUUUCUCAAGAGUGGUGAAGUAUUGGAACAGGCUGCGUGAAGGUUUUCAAGAAAAGGAUAGAUGUGGCAAUGAGAGACAUGGUUUAGUGGGCACAGGUGAUAGGUUGAUGGUUGGACUAGAUAAUCUGUGUGAUUUGUUCCAACUUUGAUGAUUCUAUGAUUCUGCAAUUCUUUGAUGAUAUCUGAAACUUAGAGGCAGAAGGCCUGAAGCAGUGCAUGCACCUUUCUCUUGUGAUGCAAGUAAAGACCUGAGUUAUGAACUGUGGACUUGGAGUUCUUUACGUAUUUACCCAGGGAUCUCAAAUCAUAUUAUAACUAAUGAAAUAAUCUUGAUCACAAUGUGGAAGGUACCUGUAAGCUACUAUGUACUUGUCUUAGGCAUGUAUCAGUGGAAAUAUAAAUCAGUCUGGCUUGUACUACAUGCAACAGUAAUAUCAAGAACAGAAAGAAAAUGUAUCUUUUCCACUCUUAUUCUGCUGAUCCAAGAGUGUAAGAAAAUUCACUCAUGCUUGCAGAAUUCUGCCUGCUGUCAACAGCACUUCUAAGAUGCGUCUUUAGCCUGCUUUCCAAUGAGAACAAGACAUUUUCUUGUUUUCCUCAUGCUCUUCAUCUCUUCAUUCUAAUAUUUCAUGGUCUUGGCUAAUUACUGGAGAGUUGGGCACAGCUGUAAGUGGAAACCCUAAAACUGUGAUAAAAUUGGUGACUGUCUUGAGGAAGAAGAUAAAUCAGUCCUUUCUGAGGGUCACAUGAGCUUACCUGGCCUCUCUUCUGUUUGAUCUGGGAGCUUGACAGCUAAGGACUUGCCAGAGCAGGGACUGUGCCUGUGCCCAGCCUCUGUGAAACAAGAUCACUGGGGAGACAUGGUAAUGUUAAGGUGGCCAGGAAUAAUAAUUAGCUAUACAAAUGGAAGGAAACUUCAAUUUUACUACUAAUACUGUUUACAGAAGAACUUGGAACUACUUUUCUGUCUCUAAUUAUACUGCUAGACUGUUUGGAAUUACAUUGUUAUAGUUUUCAUCAGCUGAUGAGUGAAAACUCCCAGAUUUUAUUUCCAUCCAUAUUGCUGAUAAAAGCAGAGAAUUAUUUACAGUAUUGAAGUUGAAGGCCACUGAAGAAAAUGUUUCUUUCAAUAAAUAAAUUGCAGCAUCUCAUACUCCAAGAGGUUUUUGUUUUUGUUUUAAUCUUCUAAGUAAAUGUCCUUUUCAGGGUUGGACAUUUUAAAUGAAUUUUUGUAUGGAUUUAGAAUUUUUGUUCUUUCUGCUAAGAAUCACAUAUGAAAUGUGUGAGGAAUGUGCACGACCGUGUCUGACUAAUUUUGUUCUUCAUGGGAGCACAGGAAGUAACUAUUUGGUGUAGAAAGAAAUCAGAACUGCAGAUCAGAAACAUCUCCCAGUCCAUU
RNAcentral lists this long non-coding RNA (6767 nucleotides) under Gallus gallus (chicken). RNAcentral's name for it is "lncRNA (ENSGALG00010008805.1)". Lineage: Eukaryota; Metazoa; Chordata; Aves; Galliformes; Phasianidae. The record is from RNAcentral.